RNAcentral lists this ribosomal RNA (726 nucleotides) under uncultured bacterium. RNAcentral describes it as "bacterial SSU rRNA". It matches the Rfam family "Bacterial small subunit ribosomal RNA", at positions 60 to 746 of the family's 1533-position model. The record is from RNAcentral.
AGUCGAGCGAGUCUGCCUUGAAGAUCGGAGUGCUUGCAUUCUGUGAAACAAGAUACAGGCUAGCGGCGGACGGGUGAGUAACACGUGGGUAACCUGCCCAAGAGAUCGGGAUAACACCUGGAAACAGAUGCUAAUACCGGAUAACAACAGAUGAUGCCUAUCAACUGUUUAAAAGAUGGUUCUGCUAUCACUCUUGGAUGGACCUGCGGUGCAUUAGCUAGUUGGUAGGGUAACGGCCUACCAAGGCGAUGAUGCAUAGCCGAGUUGAGAGACUGAUCGGCCACAUUGGGACUGAGACACGGCCCAAACUCCUACGGGAGGCAGCAGUAGGGAAUCUUCCACAAUGGACGCAAGUCUGAUGGAGCAACGCCGCGUGAGUGAAGAAGGGUUUCGGCUCGUAAAGCUCUGUUGUUGGUGAAGAAGGACGGGGGUAGUAACUGACCUUUGUUUGACGGUAAUCAAUUAGAAAGUCACGGCUAACUACGUGCCAGCAGCCGCGGUAAUACGUAGGUGGCAAGCGUUGUCCGGAUUUAUUGGGCGUAAAGCGAGUGCAGGCGGUUCGAUAAGUCUGAUGUGAAAGCCUUCGGCUCAACCGGAGAAUUGCAUCAGAAACUGUCGAGCUUGAGUACAGAAGAGGAGAGUGGAACUCCAUGUGUAGCGGUGAAAUGCGUAGAUAUAUGGAAGAACACCGGUGGCGAAGGCGGCUCUCUGGUCUGUUACUGACGC